GAUGAACGCUGGCGGCGUGCUUAACGCAUGCAAGUCGAACGAAGUAUAUUGGAAUGAGUUCUUCGGAACAAAUGGAUUUAUACUUAGUGGCGGACGGGUGGGUAACGCGUGGAUAACCUGCCUUACACUGGGGGACAACAGUUAGAAAUGACUGCUAAUACCGCAUAAGCGCACAGUACCGCAUGGUACGGUGUGAAAAACUCCGGUGGUGUAAGAUGGAUCCGCGUCUGAUUAGCUAGUUGGUGAGGUAAUGGCUCACCAAGGCGACGAUCAGUAGCCGGCCUGAGAGGGUGAACGGCCACAUUGGGACUGAGACACGGCCCAGGCUCCUACGGGAGGCAGCAGUGGGGAAUAUUGCACAAUGGGCGAAAGCCUGAUGCAGCGACGCCGCGUGAGCGAAGAAGUAUUUCGGUAUGUAAAGCUCUAUCAGCAAGGAAGAUAAUGACGGUACUUGACUAAGAAGCCCCGGCUAACUACGUGCCAGCCGCCGCAGUAA
Molecule: ribosomal RNA, 496 nt
Filed under: uncultured bacterium
Lineage: Bacteria
Description: partial 16S ribosomal RNA
Rfam family: Bacterial small subunit ribosomal RNA
Source: RNAcentral